This 214-nucleotide long non-coding RNA is filed under the name Daucus carota (carrot). RNAcentral describes it as "long non-coding RNA (DCAR_LNC005363)". The record is from RNAcentral. Lineage: Eukaryota; Viridiplantae; Streptophyta; Magnoliopsida; Apiales; Apiaceae.
GAGCAUAUCGAAAUUCUUUCUUGGACGUAUAAGAGUUGUUGGGUCAUAAAUGGGUUGCUUCUACUUCUCCUGCCGUUUAUGUUGAAAAGUAAGCCUACAACGGGGUCUUCUUCUCGUGUAAGGGUCAGAUUUGGCAAAUUCACAAAUUCUGCUUCACAAGAAAAACAAACUCGACUCAAAAUAAGAGAAUAGGUGAUCAACUUUAUUAUUUUCA